This 408-nucleotide ribosomal RNA is filed under the name uncultured bacterium. RNAcentral's name for it is "partial 16S ribosomal RNA". It matches the Rfam family "Bacterial small subunit ribosomal RNA", at positions 28 to 526 of the family's 1533-position model. The record is from RNAcentral.
GACGAACGCUGGCGGCGUGCUUAACACAUGCAAGUCGAACGAAGUGGAGAACGGGUGAGUAAUACGUGGGUAAACUGCCCUCCUUUUUGGGAUAAGCCUUGGAAACGGGGCCUAAUACCGAAUCAAGGGGGAUGGGCUUGCGGCCUAUCAGCGUGUUGGUGGUGUUCGGGCCUACCACGGCGGUGACGGGUAACCGGCCUGAGAGGGUGACCGGCAAUGUUGCGACUGAGAUACGUCCCAGACUCGUACGGGAGGUAGCAGUGGGGGAUAUUGCACAAUGGGCGAAAGCCAGAUGCAGCGACGCCGCGUGGGGGAUGAAGGCUUUCGUGUUGUAAGCCUCUUACGCUAUCGAACGGGUAGGUAGAGAGGAAGCGCCGGCUAACUACGUGCCAGCAGCCGCGGUAAUUC